Molecule: long non-coding RNA, 265 nt
Organism: Homo sapiens (human)
Lineage: Eukaryota; Metazoa; Chordata; Mammalia; Primates; Hominidae
Exons: 3
Source: RefSeq, a predicted model, not a curated record
CUGUCCAGGCAAGGAGCUUCUUAGGCAAUAGAAAAUCAGUCCUCUCCUGAACUGCAUCUGACUGAUAAUCUCAUAUAUUGACUUAAAAAUGUGCAGUAUAUAGAUUAAGAAAUGUAAGAGUUUAUAGUCUUCGAAUCAGUGUACCUAGAAUUUCCUUGCUCCACCACUCAUGUUGGGAAAAUUAAGGGCACUUUCUUCAACUAGGAGACCUUUGCCAGAGCAUGUGAAGACCUUCUUGGCAAACACCAGCCAUGCUCACUUCUCA